Nycticebus coucang (slow loris) is the source of this 285-nucleotide long non-coding RNA. RefSeq lists it as uncharacterized. The transcript is spliced from 3 exons. The record is from RefSeq and is a predicted model, not a curated record. Lineage: Eukaryota; Metazoa; Chordata; Mammalia; Primates; Lorisidae.
AAACUGGCAAGUGGUUGCGUUCAAUCCGUCUGAACCCGCCCGCAACUAAUGGAUAAAAUGAUGUGCCCCCCCAUGGGGCAUGAAGAUCAGAGAGGUGAUGUAUGUACAAGUGACUCCAUGAAAUCUUAGCUGCUGUUUAUUAAUAUUAUGAUGGGGACUGUGGACUCCUUCAGGCCAGACACAAUAUAUGCGCACGUUUUUCGGGUUGUCCCUCACUAUGCGGAAGGAGCCAGUUUCACCUCCAUUUGCACCUUCCGGUCAGUAUUUCAGGUCUGUGCCUGUUCU